GCCGUGGUGUCGGAGUGGUUAACGAGUCAGACUUGAAAUCUGAUGCCUUCGGGCGCGCAGGUUCGGUAUGUUCACGUUCUUACUUCCUGCCUGUCUGAGAUCGAAUUGUCUCUAACAAUUGUGUGGGUUGUAGAAUCCUGUCCGCGGCG
Molecule: transfer RNA, 149 nt
Filed under: Sphaerulina populicola P02.02b
Lineage: Eukaryota; Fungi; Ascomycota; Dothideomycetes; Mycosphaerellales; Mycosphaerellaceae
Description: tRNA-Ser (TGA) (tRNA-Ser-TGA-1-1)
Rfam family: tRNA
About the family: Transfer RNA (tRNA) molecules are approximately 80 nucleotides in length. Their secondary structure includes four short double-helical elements and three loops (D, anti-codon, and T loops). Further hydrogen bonds mediate the characteristic L-shaped molecular structure. tRNAs have two regions of fundamental functional importance: the anti-codon, which is responsible for specific mRNA codon recognition, and the 3' end, to which the tRNAs corresponding amino acid is attached (by aminoacyl-tRNA synthetases). tRNAs cope with the degeneracy of the genetic code in two manners: having more than one tRNA (with a specific anti-codon) for a particular amino acid; and 'wobble' base-pairing, i.e. permitting non-standard base-pairing at the 3rd anti-codon position.
Source: RNAcentral